AACGAACGCUGGCGGCAUGCCUAACACAUGCAAGUCGAACGAACCCUUCGGGGUUAGUGGCGCACGGGUGCGUAACGCGUGGGAACCUGCCUUUAGGUUCGGAAUAACUCAGAGAAAUUUGAGCUAAUACCGGAUAAUGUCUUCGGACCAAAGAUUUAUCGCCUUUAGAUGGGCCCGCGUUAGAUUAGAUAGUUGGUGGGGUAAUGGCCUACCAAGUCGACGAUCUAUAGCUGGUCUGAGAGGAUGAUCAGCCACACUGGGACUGAGACACGGCCCAGACUCCUACGGGAGGCAGCAGUGGGGAAUAUUGGACAAUGGGCGAAAGACCUGAUCCAGCAAUGCCGCGUGAGUGAUGAAGGCCUUAGGGUUGUAAAGCUCUUUUACCAGGGAUGAUAAUGACAGUACCUGGAGAAUAAGCUCCGGCUAACUCCGUGCCAGCGGCCGCGGUAAUACGGAGGGAGCUAGCGUUGUUCGGAAUUACUGGCGUAAAGCGCGCGUAGGCGGUC
This 506-nucleotide ribosomal RNA is filed under the name uncultured bacterium. Its description in RNAcentral is "bacterial SSU rRNA". It matches the Rfam family "Bacterial small subunit ribosomal RNA", at positions 28 to 580 of the family's 1533-position model. The record is from RNAcentral.